UUGGUAGGGUAACGGCCUACCAAGGCAGAGACGGGUAGGGGGCGUGAGAGCGCGGACCCCCACACUGGCACUGAGAUACGGGCCAGACUCCUACGGGAGGCAGCAGUAAGGGAUAUUGCGCAAUGGGACGAAAGUCAGACGCAGCGACGCCGCGUGGGCGAUGAAGGCCUUCGGGUUGUAANAGCCCUUUUANUGGGGGAAGNAGAAAAAGGACGGUACCCCAGGAAUAAGCUUCCCGGCUAACUACGUGCCAGCAGCCGCGGUAAAACGUAGGGGACAAGCGUUAUCCGGAUUCACUGGGCGUAAAGAGCGUUGAGGCGGUUCCGUUAAGUUGGGGCGUGAAAGCUCCGGGCUUAACUCGGAGAUGUCGUUCAAUACUGCGGGGCUUGAGGACAGCAGAGGAAGGUGGAAUUCCCGGUGUAGUGGUGAAAUGCGUAGAUAUCGGGAGGAACACCCGUGGCGAAGGCGGCCUUCUGGGCUGUUCCUGACGCUGAAGGCGAAAGCUAGGGGAGCGAACGGGAUUAGAUACCCCGGUAGUCCUAGCUGUAAACGAUGGAUGCUGGGUCUGGGGGGUGUAAAUUCCCUCUGUGCCGAAGCAAACGCGUUAAGCAUCCCGCCUGGGGACUACGGCCGCAAGGCUAAAACUCAAACGAAUUGACGGGGGCCCGCACAAGCAGCGGAGCGUGUGGUUUAAUUCGAUGCUACACGAAGAACCUUACCUGGGUUUGACAUGCACGUGGUAGGGAACCGAAAGGGGACCGACCUUCGGGAGCGUGCACAGGUGCUGCAUGGCUGUCGUCAGCUCGUGCCGUGAGGUGUCGGGUUAAGUCCCGUAACGAGCGCAACCCUUGCCCUUAGUUACAAGUGUCUAAGGGGACUGCCCGGGACAACUGGGAGGAAGGUGGGGACGACGUCAAGUCAGCAUGGCCUUUAUAUCCAGGGCUACACACACGCUACAAUGGCCGGUACAAUAGGUUGCGAAGUCGUGAGGCGGAGCCAAUCCUCAAAGCCGGUCUCAGUUCGAAUUGCAGUCUGCAACUCGACUGCAUGAAGCUGGAGUUGCUAGUAAUCGCAGGUCAGCUAUACUGCGGUGAAUACGUUCCCG
This 1105-nucleotide ribosomal RNA is filed under the name uncultured organism. RNAcentral's name for it is "bacterial SSU rRNA". It matches the Rfam family "Bacterial small subunit ribosomal RNA", at positions 249 to 1376 of the family's 1533-position model. The record is from RNAcentral.